This is a long non-coding RNA of Anas platyrhynchos (mallard), 972 nucleotides long. RefSeq lists it as uncharacterized. NCBI's taxonomy places the organism in Eukaryota, Metazoa, Chordata, Aves, Anseriformes, Anatidae. The record is from RefSeq and is a predicted model, not a curated record.
AUAUGCAUGUGUUGUUGAAAUACCUAAUGCCAGAGGUGCUGAUAAAUCUGAAUUUUGUCAUGGUGCUAUGGAGGAGUUAGUAAAGCAAGAUGCUGAAAUCAGUACCACCUGGGAAGAGGCAGAGUUUCCCAGAUGACAGAUAUUCCCUGAGGCACGGCCAGUUCUCCACCCAGCACAUCUCUGCAUGGGCACCCAAUUCACCUCUUACUGAGGACAAUCACCCCAACUGUGAAGUAUGCCGCUGACCAUAUGGAAGCCAGAAGAAAAUACUGAAGUGAAAGAGCUGUGGAGAGACCCUACCAAUGCAGGAAAAGUCUCCUCAUAGAGCCAGCACUUCCUCACCCUCCAGGCAGGAAGACCCUCCGAGGAGUCUGUGAUGAUCAUCACGGCAGCCCAUGGAAAUUCUGCAAAGAGACAUUGGAGCUAUGUUGUGUGCUCAGACUCAUCUUUACUUUUAAAGACAAAUUCAGGACAACUCAGCCCCAGGAGAAGUAUCCUGAGAGAGGAGAAGCUGAAGCAGCAGCCAUGCAUUUAGUGAAGACCUGCUGUGCUCAUAUCACAGUGGACGUAUGCACCAAAGCCCAUCAGCCCCUUAAUGGAUAACUGCCAGAUUAUCCACAGGGCUAUUUAUUGUACUUUAUGCAUCUGGGGCUGCAACGUCUGAUCUGAAAAUUGGCUAAAAGUUGUGGGAGGGGUUGCGAAUCAGAGGCCGGAGCUUGCAUAACUGCGCAGAGUGAUGACUUCUAAUGCCCAGCUUCCCCCUUCUUGAGGGCUCAAGAGAAAUGUCUUUUAACAGUCCCUCGAGGAUUUGUGUUCUUAGACCUUUGGAGGACAGUGUGUGCUGAUAUCACUCUCUCCUGCCAGAGAGGAAAUCCACUUGAUACUGACCAUAACUGCUGCUACAAAUCUAUUUCAUAAAGCUGCUAUCACUAGACAGUUGUUUUUUUUUUUUUUUUUUUUUUUUUUUUUUUU